This is a long non-coding RNA of Cucurbita maxima (winter squash), 1495 nucleotides long. RefSeq lists it as uncharacterized. NCBI's taxonomy places the organism in Eukaryota, Viridiplantae, Streptophyta, Magnoliopsida, Cucurbitales, Cucurbitaceae. The record is from RefSeq and is a predicted model, not a curated record. The transcript is spliced from 2 exons.
AAUGUUUCAGCCUAUCACAGCCGUUAGAUUGAUGCAGCUUCUCAGUUGGCGGUAGACACGUGUCCUCAUCGUCUUCGAUUCUGGUUGCUAUAAAGGCCCCUGAACCGGCCAUGGUUCUUCUCGCUCUGCAUAGGGUUUAAUCUCCGUAGUCUCUCUGUUUGCCUCUCAUUUCCGUAUCCUUAAUCUUUCGCGGGCAAUAUCUCGGCGUUGUUUCUUCUCAGUUAUACACCGGCGGUCUCUAAUUCGCUUGGUGCAGCUUGUUCGGGAAAUGUUUGGGCGAAUUGGAUCCCGCCUUGCAUCAACUGAAUCGGAAACCGUGGUGAAGAUUGCUUGGAUUCUUACCUUCCUACAGAUCUCAGGUACGGAGUUUCUCUUACUUUUGAGAGAGAACGAGUUAAUUUAAUUGUUCGCAUUUUUUCAUGAUUGGAGUUGUAGAACUUUGUUGCUAGUUUCGAUUUCUCUCCAUGACUGAAAUUAAUAACCGGUUUGAAAAUUACAUAAUAGAUCUGGUCUGUGCUCUGAAUCUUAUUUAAUUAUCUUUCUUCCUUUGUCGUCCGCUUUCGGAGUUAACUACUGAAGAGCUUUAGCUGUGUUUCGCAUUGAGGCUGAUGUUUGUAUAUCAUAGAGCUAGAGUUAUUGUCGUUGAAGUUAUUUGGUUUCUGUUUAUUGCUUCCAUCCAUGAAACACAAUGACAGAUGUUACAUCUAAUUUUGGACAUAAAACUCCGAUUCUAAUCCGUAUGGAAUAACGGAACUGUUAGAACUUUGUGUAUCAUAGAUCCAGAUUUAUUAUCGUUGAAGGUAUUUGGUUUCAGUUUAUUGCUUCCAUCCAUGGAACACAAUGAGAGAUGCUACUUCUAAUUUUGACAUAAAACUUCGAUUCGAAUCCGUAUAGAAUAACGGAACUGUUAGAACAUUAUACUUCAUAUUCUACUCCUGCUAAAAAAUCAAAGGUCAAAGAAAAAAAAAAGAAAAGGAAAAGAGAGAGAUGACAAUAAUCUUUGAACUGCUGUUUACCUUGUAAUAGUGUUUGGUCCAAUUAAUUGAUCUGUUUGCUGAGUACAUUUUCCGCGAAUAAUGAGUUUGACAAAAAGAAAGAAAGAAGUGGCGACCUGUUUGUAAGUUGUAAUCUUCUGGUAAUUCUUGUAUGACUGUAGAAUUCCCCGCCAAACCAGGUUUCCUGAAUUUUUGUUCCCUUCGUUUGCAUAGUGCAGAGUAGAACUAGAACAAUGAAACUUGUAUUCCGAAAAAGGGGGGAUUUGUUUUCAUUUGUCGGCUCCUGGGCCGUCUGGCUCCAUCAUUCCAUGAUAAUAGCCUGUGGAAAUGGAGACAUUCCGAUUCCUUUCGUUCGGAAAUUAAGUAUAAGUGAACUGAUUGUGUUCCAUUGUAAUAGGAAAUAGCCAGUAGGUUUUGUGGUUGGUAGGUGGUUCACCAUAAAAGCGAAAAUUGUUUGUUAUAAAAUUAUUUUUUAAAAUUAUAAUACCCUUUUUAAAAAA